UGCGUAGGCGGGGCAAUUAGUCAGUGGUGAAAUCCUGCGGCUUAACCGUAGAAUUGCCAUUGAUACUGUUGUCCUUGAGUAUAGUUGAAGUGGGCGGAAUAUGUAAUGUAGCGGUGAAAUGCAUAGAUAUUACAUAGAACACCAAUUGCGAAGGCAGCUCACUAAGCUAUCACUGACGCUGAGGCACGAAAGCGUGGGGAGCGAACAGGAUUAGAUACCCUGGUAGUCC
RNAcentral lists this ribosomal RNA (229 nucleotides) under uncultured bacterium. Its description in RNAcentral is "partial 16S ribosomal RNA". It matches the Rfam family "Bacterial small subunit ribosomal RNA", at positions 568 to 796 of the family's 1533-position model. The record is from RNAcentral.